CCUACGGGAUGCAGCCGUGAGGAAUAUUGGUCAAUGGGCGCGAGCCUGAACCAGCCAAGUAGCGUGAAGGAUGACUGCCCUACGGGUUGUAACCUUCUUUUUUAAAGAAAUAAAGUGAGGCACGUGUGCCUUUUUGUCUGUACUUUAUGAAUAAGGAUCGGCUAACUCCGUGCCAGCAGCCGCGGUACUACGGAGGAUCCGAGCGUUAUCCGGAUUUAUUGGGUUUAAAGGGAGCGUAGAUGGGUUGUUAAGUCAGUUGUGAAAGUUUGCGGCUCAACCGUAAAAUUGCAAUUGAUACUGGCAGUCUUGAGUACAGUUGAGGUAGGCGGAAUUCGUGGUGUAGCGGUGAAAUGCUUAGAUAUCACGAAGAACUCCGAUUGCGAAGGCAGCUUACUAAACUGCCACUGACAUUGAUGCGCGAAAGUGUGGGGAUCAAACAGGAUUAGAUACCCCAGUAGUC
RNAcentral lists this ribosomal RNA (460 nucleotides) under uncultured bacterium. RNAcentral's name for it is "partial 16S ribosomal RNA". It matches the Rfam family "Bacterial small subunit ribosomal RNA", at positions 338 to 795 of the family's 1533-position model. The record is from RNAcentral.